GGGACCAGGGAGAGAAAGAAGCUUCUCUCCUGGGCCCAUGGCCCCCUGGCCUUCCCCGGGGACAGGCCCGGAGACGUUGUGAAAUCUUCUCACCCCCAAGCGGUGGCUGGGAAGCUUCAAAUGUUUUUUUAGGCCUUUCCAGCAUAAAAGCAAAAAUUGAUGAGUUUCAGUGGCAUAAGCUCUGAGGCACAAAGGAAAAACCCCCAAGGUGGUGGGUGUGAGGAGGAAACUUUUUAUUGUCUUGCUGUGGAUUUUUUUCUUUCAUUUUUCUUUUCUUUUCCUUUGCUAGUCUCUUUAUUAAGUCAAGAUGUUAUAUGAAGGCACCAGUUAAAUAUUACAGGCAAGCUUCUUAAAGGAACCCUUUCCUCCUCUGUUACAGAUGGGUCUCUAGUUUGGCCGUGUUCCUAUCUCCAUUCCUCUUCCUCUCUUCUCCCUCCUCCCAAGUCUUCUCUCACCUUUUUUUUUUUCCCCCAGGGGAAACAUAAGGAAACACUUCAAUGACAAAUUCUAAGAAGGUCAUACCUUACCUUCCAAGAACUUUAGCUACUGAUCCUGCGGCUUCACAAGCAUACCCUCCUUUUACUGGGAAAGUCUUUGCGGGAGGAAUUUCAAGCUUGGUUCAAGGAGUUCCCACACUGGAGAAGAUGGUCCCAUCAAUCCAGGUAACUUGGUAUUUGGGGAUCUUCUCCCCAGAGGUGCUCCCUCCCGCCAGCACAUUUCCUUAUCACCGCCUGUAGUGAAUGUAACACCCAGGCAUCUCCCCAGACCUCACCGUUAACCCACCUUCAGCAGUGAAAUAUCAGAUGCUGUGCCUGAUGCUAUGGAGAUUUUUUUUUUUUUAGUAUAAAGAUAAUUCCUGACCUCAUUUGACUACAUUUUAGACGCCAUGUACGUCCAUAUCUUAUAUCCAUCUUAUGAGCCAUUCAACGUUGUGUAACUCUCUUCAGAGCUAUAUUGUAGUUAGAAUUCUGUUUUCAUUCAUUCAUUACUUAACUUACUUAUUUUCUAAUGAUGCUUAUUUU
Molecule: long non-coding RNA, 1022 nt
Filed under: Sus scrofa (pig)
Lineage: Eukaryota; Metazoa; Chordata; Mammalia; Artiodactyla; Suidae
Description: lncRNA (ENSSSCG00030071760.1)
Source: RNAcentral